GACGAACGCNGGCGGCGUGCCUAAUACAUGCAAGUAGAACGCUGAAGAGAGGAGCUUGCUCUUCUUGGAUGAGUUGCGAACGGGUGAGUAACGCGUAGGUAACCUGCCUGGUAGCGGGGGAUAACUAUUGGAAACGAUAGCUAAUACCGCAUAAAAUUGAUUAUUGCAUGAUAAUUAAUUGAAAGAUGCAAUUGCAUCACUACCAGAUGGACCUGCGUUGUAUUAGCUAGUUGGUGAGGUAACGGCUCACCAAGGCGACGAUACAUAGCCGACCUGAGAGGGUGAUCGGCCACACUGGGACUGAGACACGGCCCAGACUCCUACGGGAGGCAGCAGUAGGGAAUCUUCGGCAAUGGGGGGAACCCUGACCGAGCAACGCCGCGUGAGUGAAGAAGGUUUUCGGAUCGUAAAGCUCUGUUGUAAGAGAAGAACGGGUGUGAGAGNGGAAAGUUCACACNGNGACGG
Molecule: ribosomal RNA, 465 nt
Filed under: uncultured bacterium
Lineage: Bacteria
Description: bacterial SSU rRNA
Rfam family: Bacterial small subunit ribosomal RNA
Source: RNAcentral